CGUGUAGGCGGUUGGUCAAGUCUGGUGUGAAAGCCCGGGGCUCAGCUCCGGAAGUGCAUCGGAAACUAGCCAACUGGAGCGCGAUAGAGGAGGGUGGAAUUCCUGGUGUAGCGGUGAAAUGCGUAGAUAUCAGGAGGAACACCGGCGGCGAAGGCGGCCCUCUGGAUCGUUGCUGACGCUGAGACGCGAAAGCGUGGGGAGCAAACAGGAUUAGAUACCCUGGUAGUCCACGCUGUAAACUAUGGGUACUAGGUGUUCGGGGUGUUGACCCCUGAGUGCCGCAGCUAACGCAUUAAGUACCCGCCUGGGGACUACGGCCGCAAGGUUAAA
This 330-nucleotide ribosomal RNA is filed under the name uncultured bacterium. Its description in RNAcentral is "bacterial SSU rRNA". It matches the Rfam family "Bacterial small subunit ribosomal RNA", at positions 568 to 898 of the family's 1533-position model. The record is from RNAcentral.